GUGGGGUGGCUCAGUGGUUGAGAGCACUUGCCAUUCUUCCAAAGGACCUGGGUUUGAUUCCCAGCACACACA
RNAcentral lists this transfer RNA (72 nucleotides) under Rattus norvegicus (Norway rat). It matches the Rfam family "tRNA". Rfam says of the family: Transfer RNA (tRNA) molecules are approximately 80 nucleotides in length. Their secondary structure includes four short double-helical elements and three loops (D, anti-codon, and T loops). The record is from Rfam by way of RNAcentral. Lineage: Eukaryota; Metazoa; Chordata; Mammalia; Rodentia; Muridae.